GGUGGAGUAUCAUAAGAAAGGUGUUAAGAAUUGGGUCAAAACCACAGACAAGCUAUCACCCAUAGGGGCAACAAUCACCAGAGGCAAAACGGUGAGAAAAUGAAUUAAUGAUUUUAUUUACUGCUUCUCGCCCCUCCCUCCACACACUUUCUUUGUCUGUAAAACAUUAGCAUUGACCAGUGUCUAAGUUUGCCAAACACAGAAAGGAAGGAGAAAGCUGAGAGAAAAAAGAAAAAUUUGUUUGAUAUUCCUACAGUUAAGACUUGAUCUUUGGAAGGCUGGGAUUUCCAUUGGUCCCCAAAAGUGACACUAUUUCUCAAUGAAUGCCCAAAUCUCUCUCUCUGGACUUUUUGCCUAAGCUCUUGUGUUUUAUUAAUUAUGUAAUAUAUCGACAAUUUUAGAAGAAUGACUAAUAGUACUACAGAAACAUGGGUAUAAGUAAGUGAAGCUUCAGUGUAUGAUCAUGUAGGCUUGAUAUCAACCCCAGGGUAGCUAGCCAUCUUUUCAGAAGUGUGUGUGAGGAGUUUAACACCAACCCAUUGCUACAGUACUUAAAAUCUGGCAGCACAGUGAGUUAUUGCCUGGCAGUGGAUGGCACUUCAGAUGAAUUUGGAAAGUUAAAUUAACCCUGAAAUAUAUUAUUUGUUGUCUGUUUCCCAUUCAGGAAAGAGAUCUUCAUGUAAACAGAGUCCCUCUUAUUGGCUGAAGCGAAGAGUCAUUCUGAGUUACAGCCUGCACAAUGAUUUUUAUGGUACUACACUACUCUGCCAAGUGAGGACAGCAAUAUAAUUUUCUCAUUGAAGAACACGUGGAAAAUAGAGCAAGAGAAAAAAUUUAUAUAUAACCCCAUCCCGCAAAGGCACUUGGACAUGGAUGAAUCUGGAGAAUGUCAUCCUCAGCAAACUGACACAAGAACAGAAAAUGAAACACCGCAUAUUCUCACUCAUAGGCGG
Molecule: long non-coding RNA, 953 nt
Filed under: Callithrix jacchus (white-tufted-ear marmoset)
Lineage: Eukaryota; Metazoa; Chordata; Mammalia; Primates; Cebidae
Description: lncRNA (ENSCJAG00000073783.1)
Source: RNAcentral